AUUGAACGCUGGCGGCAGGCCUAACACAUGCAAGUCGAGCGGUAGCACAGAGAGCUUGCUCUCGGGUGACGAGCGGCGGACGGGUGUGUAAUGUCUGGGAAACUGCCUGAGGGAGGGGGAUAACUACUGGAAACGGUAGCUAAUACCGCAUAACGUCGCAAGACCAAAGUGGGGGACCUUCGGGCCUCAUGCCUACAGAUGUGCCCAGAUGGGAUUAGCUAGUUGGUGGGGUAACGGCUUACCUAGGCGACGAUCGUUAGCUGGUCUGAGGGGAUGACCAGCUGCAUGAGAGCUUGAUCACGUCCCGUAGACCCUUGGGUAGCCACAGUUUGAUAAAUUGGACAAUAGGGGCAAAUCUUGUUCAUUGGUUCCGCGUGUGUGACACUGGCGCUCUGGGUGUAAAGCACUUUCAGGGGUUGUAAAAGGGGUGCGGUUGUUAGCCUGAUUGAUUGACGUUACCCGGUGAAGAAGCACCGGCUAACUACGUG
This 488-nucleotide ribosomal RNA is filed under the name uncultured bacterium. RNAcentral's name for it is "partial 16S ribosomal RNA". It matches the Rfam family "Bacterial small subunit ribosomal RNA", at positions 30 to 507 of the family's 1533-position model. The record is from RNAcentral.